Anneissia japonica is the source of this 976-nucleotide long non-coding RNA. RefSeq lists it as uncharacterized. The record is from RefSeq and is a predicted model, not a curated record. NCBI's taxonomy places the organism in Eukaryota, Metazoa, Echinodermata, Crinoidea, Comatulida, Comatulidae. The transcript is spliced from 2 exons.
GUAAUAUUGGCAUUGAGUUGUACACAAUUUUUUUCUUUAUUUUUUACAGGGACUACUCAUUCAUCGAUACAAUGGCGAUGAUAAUUGCUAUAUAUCCAGCCUCGCGGAGUACAAUGAUACUAGAUCGGCACAGGAAAACCCCUCAAGUUUGUUCAAGUACAGACUGGAACCAAUUUCAGAGAUUAAACGUCAGUACUUCAGCUACACGGCUACCGAAUCGAUUAAACGCGUUUGCAGUGGCGCUGUAAACAUAUUAUGGAGUGCGAUUCAUGCUGAUGAUGAGCAGGAAGAAACGCGACAGAAACGCGAUUGCAGACUCCAGUGUGGGUAUUGGUGUGGCUAUAAUGGUUGCAGUUAUGGUUGCCAUUUAAUUUGCUCUUUCUAAAAUAAUUUGAUAUAAGUUUGAUUAUAAUGAUAUAAUGUAGUGUAUUUUCACUUGAUAGCGUAAGCCUAAAUACCGAAUUUAAUAGCUUCUCUGACCAUGGCUCACAUUGGGUUUUCUACUUUUAGGCCUAUCAAUUAACAUUUUCUCUAACAUUAAAUUUCAUUUUCAUUAGUACAGACUUAUUCAUUUUACAUUUAUUUUACAAAGAAAAAUGCUUUCCUCUCAACGAAUUAUACUAGGCCUAAUUUAUAGGACAACAAGAAUGAAAAGUAAAAAAAAAAUCACCAAGUACAAUAAUUUUGAUGAUGAACGAAUGUCAAUGUAGAAAGGCGUACGACUUAGUGGACCACAACAUAUUAAAAAAUAAAUUGCCUUAAUUGGAAGUCAGCGAAAAAUGUAUUUUAUGGACUAAAUUAUUGUUUUAAAAUCGUACUGCACUAAAAUAUGAAUAAAUACACCUCGUGUCUUAUUUUGUUCAUAUUAUUGUUUAUUAACGAUUUCAAGUCUGAUCCGCAUGUUACUAAAUAAAUGGAUGACAACUCGUUGUUGGAAUGUGUUAACACGUUAAAUAAUCAGAGUGCUAUACAAAGG